UGGGGAAUAUUGGACAAUGGGCGAAAGCCUGAUCCAGCCAUGCCGCGUGUGUGAAGAAGGUCUUCGGAUUGUAAAGCACUUUAAGUUGGGAGGAAGGGCAGUAAGCGAAUACCUUGCUGUUUUGACGUUACCGACAGAAUAAGCACCGGCUAACUCUGUGCCAGCAGCCGCGGUAAUACAGAGGGUGCGAGCGUUAAUCGGAUUUACUGGGCGUAAAGCGUGCGUAGGCGGCUAAUUGAGUCGGAUGUGAAAUCCCCGAGCUUAACUUGGGAAUUGCAUUCGAUACUGGUUAGCUAGAGUGUGGGAGAGGAUGGUAGAAUUCCAGGUGUAGCGGUGAAAUGCGUAGAGGUCUGGAGGAAUACCGAUGGCGAAGGCAGCCAUCUGGCCUAACACUGACGCUGAGGUACGAAAGCAUGGGGAGCAAACAGG
This 429-nucleotide ribosomal RNA is filed under the name Pseudomonadota bacterium. RNAcentral describes it as "Proteobacteria bacterium partial 16S ribosomal RNA". It matches the Rfam family "Bacterial small subunit ribosomal RNA", at positions 355 to 776 of the family's 1533-position model. The record is from RNAcentral. Lineage: Bacteria; Pseudomonadati; Pseudomonadota.